Molecule: transfer RNA, 68 nt
Filed under: Rattus norvegicus (Norway rat)
Lineage: Eukaryota; Metazoa; Chordata; Mammalia; Rodentia; Muridae
Rfam family: tRNA
About the family: Transfer RNA (tRNA) molecules are approximately 80 nucleotides in length. Their secondary structure includes four short double-helical elements and three loops (D, anti-codon, and T loops).
Source: Rfam by way of RNAcentral
GGGGAUUUGGCUCAGUGGUAGAGCGCCUGCCUAGCAAGCACAAGGCCCUGGGUUCGGUCCCAGCUCCG